This 222-nucleotide unclassified non-coding RNA is filed under the name Hevea brasiliensis (rubber tree). The record is from RNAcentral. Lineage: Eukaryota; Viridiplantae; Streptophyta; Magnoliopsida; Malpighiales; Euphorbiaceae.
GGAAUCCAGAAACACUAUGGCCUUCAUAUCUCCUAUACUUGUCAAGUCCAAAUGGAGGCUUGGUAGAGAAAAUUGCUAUGUAGUUUCCAUUCGACUGUGCUAUGAAUUUGGGAUCAGAAGGGUGGCAUCUUAUCGAGGGACAUGUAUAUGCUUCACAGUAAACCUGGUUAGAUAGAGGGAUUUCUCGUGAUACAUCCCAAACCAUAAUUGAAUUUUCACUAA